Molecule: ribosomal RNA, 496 nt
Filed under: uncultured bacterium
Lineage: Bacteria
Description: partial 16S ribosomal RNA
Rfam family: Bacterial small subunit ribosomal RNA
Source: RNAcentral
AUGAACGCUGGCGGCGUGCCUAAUACAUGCCAGUCGAGCGAACAGAUGAGGAGCUUGCUCCUCUGACGUUAGCGGCGGACGGGUGAGUAACACGUGGAUAACCUACCUAUAAGACUGGGAUAACUUCGGGAAACCGGAGCUAAUACCGGAUAAUAUAUUGAACCGCAUGGUUCAAUAGUGAAAGACGGUUUUGCUGUCACUUAUAGAUGGAUCCGCGCCGCAUUAGCUAGUUGGUAAGGUAACGGCUUACCAAGGCAACGAUGCGUAGCCGACCUGAGAGGGUGAUCGGCCACACUGGAACUGAGACACGGUCCAGACUCCUACGGGAGGCAGCAGUAGGGAAUCUUCCGCAAUGGGCGAAAGCCUGACGGAGCAACGCUGCGUGAGUGAUGAAGGUCUUCGGAUCGUAAAACUCUGUUAUUAGGGAAGAACAAAUGUGUAAGUAACUAUGCACGUCUUGACGGUACCUAAUCAGAAAGCCACGGCUAACUACGUG